GUCCRRRRUKGAGGGCCUCUGGGUCCACCUCCCACCCGUGUUUAUUUUACCUUGUUGCUUCGGCGGGCCCGCCUUAACUGGCCGCCGGGGGGCUUACGCCCCCGGGCCCGCGCCCGCCGAAGACACCCUCGAACUCUGUCUGAAGAUUGUAGUCUGAGUGAAAAUAUAAAUUAUUUAAAACUUUCAACAACGGAUCUCUUGGUUCCGGCAUCGAUGAAGAACGCAGCGAAAUGCGAUACGUAAUGUGAAUUGCAAAUUCAGUGAAUCAUCGAGUCUUUGAACGCACAUUGCGCCCCCUGGUAUUCCGGGGGGCAUGCCUGUCCGAGCGUCAUUUCUGCCCUCAAGCACGGCUUGUGUGUUGGGCCCCGUCCUCCGAUCCCGGGGGACGGGCCCRAAAGGCAGCGGCGGCACCGCGUCCGGUCCUCGAGCGUAUGGGGCUUUGUCACCCGCUCUGUAGGCCCGGCCGGCGCUUGCCRAUCAACCCAAAUUUUUAUCCRGGUUGACCUCGGAUCAGGUAGGGAUACCCGCUGAACUUAAGCAUAUCAAUA
This 548-nucleotide ribosomal RNA is filed under the name Penicillium rubens. RNAcentral describes it as "eukaryotic LSU rRNA". The record is from RNAcentral. Lineage: Eukaryota; Fungi; Ascomycota; Eurotiomycetes; Eurotiales; Aspergillaceae.